UGCCAGACUCCUACGGGAGGCAGCAGUCGGGAAUAUUGCACAAUGGAGGAAACUCUGAUGCAGUGACACCGCGUAUAGGAAGAAGGUUUUCGGAUUGUAAACUAUUUUAGACAGGGAAGAAAAAAGACAGUACCUGUAGAAUAAGCUCCGGCUAACUACGUGCCAGCAGCCGCGGUAAUACGUAGGGAGCGAGCGUUGUCCGGAAUUACUGGGUGUAAAGGGAGCGUAGGCGGGGAUGCAAGUUGGGUGUCAAAACUACCGGCUCAACUGGUAGUCGCACUCAAAACUGCAGCUCUUGAGUGAAGUAGAGGCAGGCGGAAUUCCUAGUGUAGCGGUGAAAUGCGUAGAUAUUAGGAGGAACACCAGUGGCGAAGGCGGCCUGCUGGGCUUUUACUGACGCUGAGGCUCGAAAGUGUGGGGAGCAAACAGGAUUAGAUACCCCCGUAC
This 447-nucleotide ribosomal RNA is filed under the name uncultured bacterium. Its description in RNAcentral is "bacterial SSU rRNA". It matches the Rfam family "Bacterial small subunit ribosomal RNA", at positions 329 to 793 of the family's 1533-position model. The record is from RNAcentral.